This 429-nucleotide ribosomal RNA is filed under the name Chloroflexota bacterium. RNAcentral describes it as "Chloroflexi bacterium partial 16S ribosomal RNA". It matches the Rfam family "Bacterial small subunit ribosomal RNA", at positions 355 to 776 of the family's 1533-position model. The record is from RNAcentral. Lineage: Bacteria; Bacillati; Chloroflexota.
UGGGGAAUAUUGCACAAUGGGCGCAAGCCUGAUGCAGCCAUGCCGCGUGUAUGAAGAAGGCCUUCGGUUUGUAAAGUACUUUCAGCGGGGAGGAAGGGAGUAAAGUUAAUACCUUUGCUCAUUGACGUUACCCGCAGAAGAAGCACCGGCUAACUCUGUGCCAGCAGCCGCGGUUAUAUGGAGGGUGCAAGCGUUAAUCGGAAUUACUGGGCGUAAAGCGCACGCAGGCGGUCUGUCAAGUCGGAUGUGAAAUCCCCGGGCUCAACCUGGGAACUGCAUUCGAAACUGACAGGCUAGAGGCUUGUAGAGGGGGGUAGAAUUCCGGGUGUAGCGGUGAAAUGCAUAGAGAUCUGGAGGAAUACAGGUGGCGAAGGCGGCCCCCUGAACAACGACUGACGAUCAGGUGCGAAAGCGUGGGGAGCAAACAGG